GGAUGCGAUCAUACCAGCACUAAAGCAUCGGAUCCCAUCAGAACUCCGAAGUUAAGCGCGCUUGGGCGAGAGUAGUACUAGGAUGGGUGACCCCCUGGGAAGUCCUCGUGUUGCAUCCC
Molecule: ribosomal RNA, 119 nt
Filed under: Nicotiana attenuata
Lineage: Eukaryota; Viridiplantae; Streptophyta; Magnoliopsida; Solanales; Solanaceae
Source: RNAcentral